AUUGAACGCUGGCGGCAUGCCUUACACAUGCAAGUCGAACGGUAACAGGUCUUCGGAUGCUGACGAGUGGCGAACGGGUGAGUAAUACAUCGGAACGUACCCGAUCGUGGGGGAUAACGAAGCGAAAGCUUUGCUAAUACCGCAUAAGAUCUACGGAUGAAAGCAGGGGACCGCAAGGCCUUGCGCGAACGGAGCGGCCGAUGGCAGAUUAGGUAGUUGGUGGGAUAAAAGCUUACCAAGCCGACGAUCUGUAGCUGGUCUGAGAGGACGACCAGCCACACUGGGACUGAGACACGGCCCAGACUCCUACGGGAGGCAGCAGUGGGGAAUUUUGGACAAUGGGCGAAAGCCUGAUCCAGCCAUGCCGCGUGCAGGAUGAAGGCCUUCGGGUUGUAAACUGCUUUUGUACGGAACGAAGAGACUCUUUCUAAUAAAGAGGGUCCAUGACGGUACCGUAAGAAUAAGCACCGGCUAACUACGUGCCAGCAGCCGCAGUAA
This 498-nucleotide ribosomal RNA is filed under the name uncultured bacterium. RNAcentral's name for it is "partial 16S ribosomal RNA". It matches the Rfam family "Bacterial small subunit ribosomal RNA", at positions 30 to 523 of the family's 1533-position model. The record is from RNAcentral.